RNA transcript from Solenopsis invicta (red fire ant), 4316 nucleotides. It is a transcript of the gene named CUB and sushi domain-containing protein 3, with no coding region annotated. The record is from RefSeq and is a predicted model, not a curated record. The transcript is spliced from 11 exons. Lineage: Eukaryota; Metazoa; Arthropoda; Insecta; Hymenoptera; Formicidae.
GGGAGGGGGGUGAACAGUCAGUCAGUCGCACAGGCCAGCCUCGUUCCUGAUGGCAACCGGCACAGCGGUCGUUACCUGCCGAGGUGGUGGUAGCAAAGAACGACAGGUGGGAGAGCGGAAUACCUGGAUGACUUCCUACCGGGGAACAGGCGCCUCAGUCCUCAAGUAAGAACGUCUGACGUCGGUUACAGCGGUCUACGAGAGAAACGUCCACGAGUUCUACGUGGGCGCACGAGCACCAUCGUCAUCGCCACAUUAACCCCGUUCGAAGAAUACCCGCGGGGAACAGACUCGCGCGUUUAGUUGACUCUCGCGCUUUGAACUGGCGAUCGCGUUCAGUGAAAGAAAACUGAAGAGAGGGUCGUUCGCACCCCAAAAUGGCGUUUCGUCUGAUGAACAUUCGGUGAACUUCCCUAACGGAGUGCGCUCGUUGCGGACGUAUUAAUUAUUGUUCCGAAUUGGAGUAACAUCGGAACAUCCUCCGCAAUAGUUUUCUGGAACGAGAGGACGUUCAAGGCCGGAGUUCACGUGAAGAUUUACGGUUGCUAACGAAAUGGAACGCUGGAUGCUUUGCUUGCUUCUCAUCGCUCUGGUUGCCAAAGAAUCCAAUGGCGCUGGAUGCGGUUAUCCGGGUGCACCGGCACAUAGCAGCGUGCGUUUUUCCACCAGAAAUACCGAUUUCGUCAUAGAUGAGGAGGAUGCCCUUCUUAACGAAACCAUGUUAUUGGAGGGCACCAUAGCUACAUAUUCCUGUGAACGAGGAUUCGAGCUUCUGGGACCAGCGAGAAGGGAAUGCAAACCCGAUGGGAUGUGGACGCCGGAAAGCGUGCCUUUUUGCGUUCUGAACGUGGCAGGCGGCAAAGCGCCGAUGCAGUCCAGCACCAUGGACGGCGCGACUCCACAGCGCGCGGUCGACGGAAGCAGCAGCCAGGUUUACACGUCGGAAACCUGCACCCUGACGAGGCCCGAGCUCAAACCGUGGUGGUACGUGAACCUGUUGGAACCGUACAUGGUGCAGCUGGUGCGACUGGACUUUGGCAAGCCGUGCUGCGAGGACGGCGCCAUCGUCGUUCGAGUUGGUAAUAAUCGACCAGACUCAGGAACGAAUCCUAUUUGCAAUCAAUACACCGGAUACGUGGGGGAAGGGCAGCCACUCUUUUUGCCUUGCAAUCCGCCGAUGCCCGGAGCUUUUGUCUCGGUGCAUCUUGAGUUCCCGAGGAGCACGAGUAUUAAAGCGCAGCUGUCCUUGUGCGAGGCUUUCGUCUAUACCGAUCAGGCCUUGCCGAUCGAGAGGUGCCCUCAAUUCCGGGACCAACCGCCGGGAUCAACGGCGACGUACAACGGCAAGUGCUACAUAUUUUACAAUCGCAAUCCGUUGAAGUUUACGGAUGCUUUGGCCUUUUGCCGUGCACGAGGUGGUACCCUUGUGGAUGAGAGCAAUCCUGCUCUGCAGGGAUUCAUUUCCUGGGAGUUAUGGAGACGGCAUAGGAGCGACACGUCCAGUCAAUACUGGAUAGGCGCAGUUAGGGAUGCUAAUGAUCGGGCGUUGUGGAAGUGGUCCGGGAGCGGCGAGGAGGUCUCUGUUUCAUUUUGGAGUCUACCGCAAGAUAGUACCAAUGGAAAUUGUGCUCGGUAUGACGGUAGUAAUGGCUGGCUUUGGUCCGAUACACCUUGCACAGCCAGACUUAAUUUCAUCUGUCAACAUCAACCACAAGCUUGCGGUAGACCCGAACAACCACCAAAUUCCACGAUGAUUGUGACCACCGGGUCGUCCAAGGCACCUGUAUACGAAGUCGGGGCGACGGUAGAGUACAGUUGUAACGUGGGCAGUCUGCUAAUCGGACCGUCGGUCCGCACUUGUCUCGACACCGGUUUCUACAACGAGUUUCCGCCAGUGUGCAAAAAUAUCGAGUGCGGCUACCCCGCGAGCAUAAAGAACGGCGGUUACACGCUUAUCAAUAACACCGUCAGUUUCCUGAGUCAGGUGCUUUAUUAUUGCGACGACGGAUACGAGAUGACCGGACGUGCCCUAUUGAUGUGCGACGUCGACGAGCGUUGGAACGGACCACCACCGCGAUGUGAGCCGAUUCGCUGCGCUGCACCGGCCCCGGUCACGCAUGGUUAUAUAGAGAAGAUCGACACAGACGAAAGUGCUGCGGCGAAGAAUCUCAAUCGAAGUCUGCUGGUUAACAGCAUCGUCACUUACACGUGCGAGAAGGGCUAUCGGCUCGUUGGUUCUCGGCAAAUAACGUGUUUGAGUACCGGAUUUUACGAUCGCGUUGCACCUACCUGCAUAGACGACUCACGGGCUACCAUGGUCUCGCCUACCCGAGCGACGAUACGUCCGUCCACUACAAAAACUCGAACGUAUCUUACUCCGAGAGUGAGGACCACGACGAGUAGCAGCACGGGAACUCCCGUCACGACCUCCAAUCCAUCUAGGAUUGUGCCUGGCACCGCGGAACUCCCAGCAACUGUGAGAGAGACCGUCUCGAGGAGGCCGACAAUCGGUCUGAGACCCGCGCUUCCUACGUCAGUAGACACCGGUAGUGAGCAUCCGCAGGACAACGAGAUAUCCCAAAGCGUGGACCACGCACAAGCGGGAAUCGGCGCGGGCGUGCCGGAACCGUCUGGUCCUUUCCGAGUGGACAACGCUGAGCAUCCCAGCGGCACCCAUCAAGCCAAACUGAACCUGGGAGCCGUGAUCGCCCUGGGAGUGUUCGGCGGUUUUGUGUUCCUCGCCGCGGUGAUCACGACGGUCGUUAUUCUCAUACGCAGGUAAAAAAACGAACGUACUCUUUUAAUCCAUCUUGAACGAUGAUUCGAUGACUUUGAGGAUCAUCGCCAAGAUCAUCCCUCCGUCCCACGAAUCUUUUCUGUAUUUGAUGAUAUCAGCCCACUCCCGAUAUAUAUAGAUGACAUUUGAUCAGAUUGUACAUUAUAUCGCUUACUUUGUAUUAAUUCGAUCUACUUUCUGUCCUCUACCGCUCUGUCUUCUUCCUAACUUGUAAUACAUAUAUGCUGCAUUGUAAUCUAGAUUUUCUUUUUUAUAUAAGAUGAUUUUGCUUACUGAAAUCGCGUGUACAUGUUUCUCAGAGUCUUGAUGUAACAAAAGAGUCUCUAACAUGUCAGAUAGAAUUACGUGGGGAUAAUAGUACUACUUCUUUACCUUUAGUACUGUACCUUUCAUUCAUUGAUCAUAAGCUUCUUGUAAUUUAGCCUGUUUUAUUUACUUUAAACAUAGCCUCAAAUUACGCUUUGCAAAGGCGACUUUCUCAUUUCUGAUCGAGUCGUAAUGAUUUUUUUUCUUAUUUGUAUCGUUUACUAACCAAUGGUUCUCAACGCGAGUUAUACGGCCACCUAAAGACCUGUGGCACAUGUAAAAAGUGGAAUAUCAUUAGGGGCUACAAUAAAUAAGUCAAUCGAAAUAUCUUUCGUCGGGUUGAGGAUAACUGUAAGUAAAUGCAAACAAAAGUGACGAAGUAAGGUUGAGAAACAGUGGUGUAGACGCAUCGCAAGACUCUUGCGUCAUCUUAAUGUAGCAUCAGGGAAACGCGCGAGUCUCGUAGUCUAGUCCGUCGAUGACGAUGAUUAACAACAGAGUCCAUUUGUGCAUUGCGGUGGUUAGCGGCAGUGGCAGCGUCAGAGGAAGGCGCCGCAGGGGGCUCGGUGGGGUUGGUGCGCUGAGGGGUGGCGGUAGUGGUGGCCUUGGGAGGGGCGACACCGGGAUGCCCUCGCGUUGGUAUACGCUACUCGCGCUGCCCUUCCCCGACCAGCACCUGGGGCGCCGCGACCUCACGGCACGCCGCGGUAGCGAUCAUCCUUAUUCCUUCAGCCUAUCGGCGGCACAUCGCGCCGGUUACUUCUCGAAUCCCUCUCUGUAGAUCGCCAUCGACGCCCUUCCCUCUCACCCCGCCGUAAAAAGAUAGAGAAAAGAAAGAGAGAGAGAGAGAAAGAGAGAAAACUAUUCUACCUUAAUAAAGCCUACAACCACCACUACCACCCCAACCCUCCACGCAACCACCGCCCACCACAACAACUAUCAUCACGUACCAGCUACCACGCGCCACCCUCGCGAGUGAUACUAGUCAAGAAACCGCGGAAGAAGCAGCAAACACUAUCGUCACCGUGCAUCGCCCGAUUGCAAUACUGUCGCCAGUUUCGACAGCAGUUCCUCGGAGAGUCGAGGAGGUCUGAAUCGGUACUAUCGCCAAGCCUGGGAGAAUCUACAUGAAACCGCCGGUCACAAAGCCGGCCAUCCGCCGCUUCGUCGUAAAGAGACUCUAGAUGAGCCAGGAUACCGGGAGAAUUUCCGC